This 309-nucleotide ribosomal RNA is filed under the name Triticum aestivum (bread wheat). Its description in RNAcentral is "partial small subunit ribosomal RNA". Lineage: Eukaryota; Viridiplantae; Streptophyta; Magnoliopsida; Poales; Poaceae. The record is from RNAcentral.
AUGAAAUACAGAAAAGACUCAACUAAGUGUGUCACAGUAAGAGAGCAGGGCAGCUCUAUGGGCCACCCUAACUCUAUGUUGCAGAAGUCUCAAAUCCUCCUUGAAGCGAGCAAACCAGGAUGCAAUGCUUGGGGCAAUACCUCUGAAGUGCUUGUUAUUUCUUUCCUUCCACAAGCUCCAGGCAGCAGUGUAGAAUACUUCGACAAAGAAGGGAUUGGGCCAAUCCGUUUGCGCGUUGUGGAGCGCGGUGAACCUAUCUUGAAAAUCAUGCCAGUACAAUGUGCAGCUUGGCCCAGCACCUCCCACUGA